This 965-nucleotide ribosomal RNA is filed under the name Entoloma dichroum. RNAcentral describes it as "eukaryotic LSU rRNA". The stretch from base 456 to 609 matches the Rfam family "5.8S ribosomal RNA". Lineage: Eukaryota; Fungi; Basidiomycota; Agaricomycetes; Agaricales; Entolomataceae. The record is from RNAcentral.
UUGAAUGAAUUUGGUUGGGUUGUUGCUGGCUCUUAGGGGCAUGUGCACACUCACGCCAUCUUUAAACCACCUGUGCACCUUGUGUAGAGUGUUCGACUCAACCUUUUGAAGCGCCCGCUUCGGCACAGAUGUUAACUCGUCUGAAUGGCGUUGAAUAAUUCUGGUUGACGAAGCCAGGUGUCCUUCGGGAUGCUCACAAGAUCAAGCAGCACAACAGAGCUCGUCUACAAGGACCAAGUCCGCUUCGGCGUUGAUUUGGGCAAUUGGAGGCUUGACGCACUGUGUCUGCACUGUCAUAUUCCUGUACCUACCGUAACCCACUCCCUUUGGGAGUGUGCUACUAGGUGGCUUUGACGGACUUGGUUAAACCAUGACCGGAACACUUCUAUGUUUUUAUACACCCUACAUGUAUCAGAAUGUUGUAUAUAGGCUUUUAUGCCUUCUAAACAUAAAACAACUUUCAACAACGGAUCUCUUGGCUCUCGCAUCGAUGAAGAACGCAGCGAAAUGCGAUAAGUAAUGUGAAUUGCAGAAUUCAGUGAAUCAUCGAAUCUUUGAACGCACCUUGCGCUCCUUGGUAUUCCGAGGAGCAUGCCUGUUUGAGUGUCAUGAAAUUCUCAACCUCUCUAGCUUUUGCGAAGGGAGGCUUGGACUUUGGAGGUUGCUGGAUUCAACGAAUUCGGCUCCCCUGAAAUACAUUAGCACGACCUUUGCUGAUGCAUCUUUGGUAUGAUAAUUAUCUAUAUCAUAGAGAUUCGGUUCCUCUGUAUAGAGGAAGGUUGGCUUCUAAUCGUCUCAUCAGACAAUAUUGAUAAUUUUGGCCUCAAAUCAGGUAGGACUACCCGCUGAACUUAAGCAUAUCAAUAAGCGGAGGAAAAGAAACUAACAAGGAUUCCCCUAGUAACUGCGAGUGAAGCGGGAAAAGCUCAAAUUUAAAAUCUGGUAGUCUUUGGCUGCCCGAGUUG